Molecule: long non-coding RNA, 1643 nt
Organism: Cavia porcellus (domestic guinea pig)
Lineage: Eukaryota; Metazoa; Chordata; Mammalia; Rodentia; Caviidae
Exons: 3
Source: RefSeq, a predicted model, not a curated record
GGAAAUUAAGCCCUGCAGACCUCCCCUUGCCAUGUGGUUUCUACAAAGUUUUAUCAAAGGGAGACACUGGCCGGGGAUGAUGAGGAAGCCUGGACUAUACAAUCUCCCUGUGGCUUGUUUUGGAGAUUGCAUUCUUACCCAAAUACUCUACGUGAUUGCCUGCUUUGCGGCUUUGGGCUGGUGAUUGGAAGAAGAAAGAAGAUACACAUUAGUGAUACCAUGUUAAAGUGCACUCCGGUUCUGGAACCUUUUAAAAUGUAUUGUGUUUUUAGGUGAAACCUGCAAAACCACUCCUAAGAGGCUUAAUUUAGGUUUUAGAGGAAGAACAUAAAAAAGACCAGGUUACAGCAACACAUUGAAAUAUGGAGUACAUUUUAAAUAUCUUCAUUUAAAAACGUAUGUUUAUUUUCCCUCCUGGGAUCACUAACGUGUGUCUCGACAGGGAAAGAAGAACGUGAGACAUUCUUAAAAAUUAUUUGUUGAAGGGAUCAUAUUCCAAGACAGGUUUGAGCGUUUUUAUUACUGCAGAUAACCUCUUAAUUAUGUCACUGCCUUCUACUUGUUAAUCAAGGACAUUCAACAUAGUUAACUGUGGAGUGGUUGCCUUUAGAAGAAUAUAUUAUUAUUAAGAAUCAAAUACACUUUAUUUCUAUCGUAUGAUCACAGGUACUGUAGGGUUUUAGCACUGGGAAAAACCUAUUUAUUUGCUAUGUACAUAACAACUAAGAAACAGUCUGGAUGCCUGUAACAGUGUUGCUCAUUACCACAAACUGCAGUCCAUGAAAAGCUUUUAAGGUCCGGAUCAUUUUCCUUCUCCUGCCUCCUGCCUGUGCCACACUAUCCCUAUUUAAAGCAAUUUUAGGUUUCUUCUGAAGUCACCAGCAUCAGAGAUAUUCAUAUACUCUUUCAGAGAGCCAGGUGUAAAUGGAGUAAAUAAAAUCACGUUUCUCUGUUGCUUUAUCAAUCCUCCUAGGUAGUUUUUUCUGCCAGCCAACCUGCACUGUUAAGACCCAUAAAAUUAUGCAAUAGCGACUUCUUUGGAGCUUCUCUAAUCAGAUAAUGGCAGGUGUUAGGAGAGCAGGGCCCAAGGCAGUGUUGCUAGCACUUAACACUGUGGUUGGUCAUUACUUGUCUGGUAGAGACCAAUAAACAACUGAUUACUAUCCUAUAAGGAGCCAGUAUUUUACAUCUAUCCUAGUUACUUUUUCCUUUUCUUUUUGACUUCUUAUAACAGCAAGUAUUUGUCAAGAAGAUCUAUGAGAAAUAGCCUCACAGGCAUCUUAAAAAUAAGAAAUUUCCUAGCACAAAAUGAUGACUUUUGUGGAAAGCUGAGAAUGAUCCUGAUUUUUACAAGGAAGGUUUAAUUAGCUUAAAGUUCAUUUGUUUCAGACAUAGACACUUCUGGACACCAUCCCCCACUGCUCCUCUCACCCUAGUCCCUUCUUGCCUCUAUGGCAGGUUCACAGGCUGCAACCAAGGAGUUUUAAAAUGCAAAUAUUUAUAUUUGAGCUCUGGCAAUAACAGGGCUAUUUUGCUUCCUCAGUAAACCUGUGAUAAUUGAUGCUUCAUAUCUGGAGCUCGGUUUCAUUUAUCUCUUUACAUGUGAAGAUAGUAUGUAAAUAAAAGGUAAUUUAUGGAAAGGA